CCUACGGGCGGCAGCAGUGGGGGAUAUUGCACAAUGGGGGAAACCCUGAUGCAGCGACGCCGCGUGGGCGAAGAAGUAUUUCGGUAUGUAAAGCCCUAUCAGCAGGGAAGAAGAAAUGACGAUACCUGAGUAAGAAGCACCGGCUAAAUACGUGCCAGCAGCCGCGGUAAUACGUAUGGUGCAAGCGUUAUCCGGAGUUACUGGGUGUAAAGGGAGCGCAGGCGGGACGGCAAGCCUGAUGGGAAAGCCCGGGGCCGAACCGCGGGACUGCAUUGGGAACUACCGGGCUGGAGUGCCGGAGAGGUAGGCGGAAUUCCUAGUGUAGCGGUGAAAUGCGUAGAUAUUAGGAGGAACACCAGUGGCGAAGGCGGCCUACUGGACGGUGACUGACGCUGAGGCUCGAAAGCGUGGGGAGCAAACAGGAUUAGAUACCCUAGUAGUC
This 442-nucleotide ribosomal RNA is filed under the name uncultured bacterium. RNAcentral describes it as "partial 16S ribosomal RNA". It matches the Rfam family "Bacterial small subunit ribosomal RNA", at positions 338 to 795 of the family's 1533-position model. The record is from RNAcentral.